AUGGCCACAUUAUGUUGAAACACUGGCUCCUGUACGAUCACUGUAGUUAAGCAAUAUCAAGCCUGGUUAGUACCUAGAUGGGUGACCACUUGAGAAUAACAGGUGCUGUAG
Non-coding RNA from Acanthosepion pharaonis, 111 nucleotides. NCBI's taxonomy places the organism in Eukaryota, Metazoa, Mollusca, Cephalopoda, Sepiida, Sepiidae. The record is from the annotation of a GenBank genome assembly.